UGCGUAGGCGGACUAAUAAGUCAGUGGUGAAAUCUCUCGGCUCAACCGGGUAACUGCCAUUGAUACUGUUAGUCUUGAGUUCGGUUGAGGUAGGCGGAAUGUGUAAUGUAGCGGUGAAAUGCUUAGAUAUUACACAGAACACCAAUUGCGUAGGCAGCUUACUAGACCGACACUGACGCUGAGGCACGAAAGCGUGGGUAGCGAACAGGAUUAGAUACCCUGGUAGUCC
Molecule: ribosomal RNA, 229 nt
Filed under: uncultured bacterium
Lineage: Bacteria
Description: partial 16S ribosomal RNA
Rfam family: Bacterial small subunit ribosomal RNA
Source: RNAcentral